This 22-nucleotide ribosomal RNA is filed under the name Alternaria sp. MY-2011. Its description in RNAcentral is "partial 28S large subunit ribosomal RNA". Lineage: Eukaryota; Fungi; Ascomycota; Dothideomycetes; Pleosporales; Pleosporaceae. The record is from RNAcentral.
UUGACCUCGAUCAGGUAGUCAU